This 406-nucleotide ribosomal RNA is filed under the name uncultured bacterium. RNAcentral's name for it is "partial 16S ribosomal RNA". It matches the Rfam family "Bacterial small subunit ribosomal RNA", at positions 30 to 526 of the family's 1533-position model. The record is from RNAcentral.
AUUGAACGCUGGCGGCAGGCCUAACACAUGCAAGUCGAGCGAGCGGCGGACGGGUGAGUAAUGUCUGGGAAACUGCCUGAUGGAGGGGGAUAACUACUGGAAACGGUAGCUAAUAUCGCAUACCAUCAGAUGUGCCCAGAUGGGAUUAGCUAGUAGGUGGGGUAACGGCUCACCUAGGCGACGAUCCCUAGCUGGUCUGAGAGGAUUACCAGCCACACUGGAACUGAGACAUGGGCCAGACUCCUACGGGAGGCAGCAGUGGGGAAUAUUGCACAAUGGGCGCAAGCCUGAUAGAGCCAUGCCGCUUGUAUGAAGAAGGCCUUCGGGUUGUAAAGUACUUUCAGCGGGGAGGCGUUACCCGCAGAAGAAGCACCGGCUAACUCCGUGCCAGCAGCCGCGGUAAUAC